GCCCUCCACUUAAAGAUACUAUGCCUUUCCUGGCCGCAGUAUCCUCCCUUUUCUCUUUUGGUUAAAAGUGAGCAUUGUAGGGCACAGCCAUGGGCUCAAUGUAAUUAAGAGCUGACACUGAAGCAUAGUUAACGACCACCUCUAAUUUUCUACCCCUGGCCACAGGUGCAAACAUCUCACACCAGUUCCGAUGUUGCUCUUUCCUCGAGUUGCAGGUCUAUGGAAAUGCAGGAUCUAACCAGCCCGCACAGCCGACUCAGUGGUAGUAGCGAAUCCCCCAGUGGCCCCAAACUCGAUAGCUCUCAUAUAAAUAGUACUUCCAUGACUCCGAAUGGCACCGAAAGUUAAAACAGAACCAAUGAGCAGCAGCGAAAUAGCUUCAACAGCAGCAGAC
Molecule: long non-coding RNA, 394 nt
Filed under: Rattus norvegicus (Norway rat)
Lineage: Eukaryota; Metazoa; Chordata; Mammalia; Rodentia; Muridae
Description: long non-coding RNA NONRATT022021
Source: RNAcentral